Small nuclear RNA from Sorex fumeus (smoky shrew), 194 nucleotides. RefSeq annotates it as U2 spliceosomal RNA. The record is from RefSeq and is a predicted model, not a curated record. NCBI's taxonomy places the organism in Eukaryota, Metazoa, Chordata, Mammalia, Eulipotyphla, Soricidae. The transcript has a single exon.
AUUACUUCUCAGCCUUUUGGCUAAGAUCAAGUGUAGUAUCUGUUCUUUUCUGUUUAAUAUUUGAUACCCACUCGGCUCCCUCUGCUCAGGGACAACAGAUUAAAUGGAAUUUUGGAGCAGGGGGGGUGGACUAAGUAUCUUGCUCAACCACAGUACACAUUGACCUGGUAUUGCUAAGUGUUGAAUUUCCCUCU